This 336-nucleotide unclassified non-coding RNA is filed under the name Hevea brasiliensis (rubber tree). Lineage: Eukaryota; Viridiplantae; Streptophyta; Magnoliopsida; Malpighiales; Euphorbiaceae. The record is from RNAcentral.
UGAACAGUAGAAAAAGAUAUUUUUAAAUAUAGUUUGUGCAAACCGGACAAAUGGUUUUUAAGAUCUAGGUCCUCCUUCUCCACAAUCUCAAUGUCAGCAAUUUGACUUUCAUAUCGUCGCCGCAAAUAAGCCUCGACAUCCAUUUCCAUUUUGUCCUUUGUGGAGGCAUAGAAAUAAGGACGAAAUUUGAACUUGGACUUGAAAGUGGAGCCAUCCUGAGAAACAAAAUAGAGAUCAACACAACUGUGCAUUUUGCGCGUUUCUUGAUCCUCCCAAGAUGAGGAUGCAAAAGUGAGAAGCCAACCGAGGCGUUUAUCUCCCUCUGUAAAAAGAUCG